Molecule: ribosomal RNA, 468 nt
Filed under: uncultured bacterium
Lineage: Bacteria
Description: partial 16S ribosomal RNA
Rfam family: Bacterial small subunit ribosomal RNA
Source: RNAcentral
GACGAACGCUGGCGGCGUGCUUAACACAUGCAAGUCGAACGGAAAGGCCCUGCUUUUGUGGGGUGCUCGAGUGGCGAACGGGUGAGUAACAAGUGAGUAACCUGCCCUUGCCUUUGGGAUAACUUCAGGCAACUGGGGAUACUACCGGAUAGGAGCUCCUGCUGCAUGGUGGGGGUUGGAAAGUUUCGGCGGUUGGGGAUGGACUCGCGGCUUAUCAGCUUGUUGGUGGGGUAGUGGCUUACCAAGGCGUUGACGGGUCGCCGGCCUGAGAGGGUGACCGGCCACAUUGGGACUGAGAGACGGCCCAGACUCCUACGGGAGGCAGCAGUGGGGAAUAUUGCACAAUGGGCGGAAGCCUGAGGCAGCAACGCCGCGUGCGGGAUGACGGCCUUCGGGUUUUAAACCGCUUUCGCCUGUGACGAAGCGUGAGUGACGGUAAUGGGUAAAGAAGCACCGGCUAACUACGUG